RNAcentral lists this ribosomal RNA (392 nucleotides) under uncultured eukaryote. RNAcentral describes it as "partial 18S ribosomal RNA". It matches the Rfam family "Eukaryotic small subunit ribosomal RNA", at positions 592 to 976 of the family's 1831-position model. The record is from RNAcentral.
CAAUAGCGUAUACUAAAGUUGUUGCGAUUAAAAAGCUCGUAGUUGGAUCUCAGGCAUGGGCGCACGGUCCGCCUCGCGGCGGUCACUGUGUGUUUUGUUUCCCAUCCUACGCUUCCCGGUUAUCAGCCCAUGGUGCUCUUCACUGAGCGUUUUGGGUGGCCGGAACGUUUACUUUGAAGAAAUUAGAGUGUUCAAAGCAGGCACGUCGCCUGAAUAAUGGUGCAUGGAAUAAUGGAAUAGGACCUCGGUUCUAUUUUGCUGGUUUUCGGAACACGAGGUAAUGAUUAAGAGGGACAGACGGGGGCAUCCGUAUUGCGGUGUUAGAGGUGAAAUUCUUGGAUCAUCGCAAGACGAGCAACUGCGAAAGCAUUUGCCAAGCAUGUUUUCAUUAG